AAUCGAGUUCCAAUUCCAAAGUAGGGCAGAACUCUCUCAAGAUGCUAAUAUGACAACGUGUCAGCAGAAGACAUUGUCAAGGGUUAAAUCAAAUUGAAGGGAUGUUGUCACCAGCAUCAAGGCACAAUGUUGGUAAACUGAAGCCUAGGGCAAAUCCUUUCCAAGUGCUCGAUGACAACAUUUCCCCGAUCAGGAAGAAGGAAAAGGAGAGCAGGAAACUGAGCCAGUUGGGCUUGCAGGUUCAUGAGAAGGUGACAUAUGCAGGCCGUAUGAAGGCCAAGCAGGCUGAUCUCCGCAGGAAGCUGAGAGAGGGGCUGGAGGAAGAGGACACAGCCCAGCAAGGAGGGGAGGAGAGCAGGCUGGCCGAGCUACAAAACACCCCUGCCUGGAGGGCGGCCAUGAUCAAAGGUGGUGACGGACAGAAAGACAGACACAUUCACGGACACAAACACACCUACACACACCAUGUUGCUACACCAUAAUUGACAUACACUGAGUGUACAAACGAUUAGGAACACCUGCUCUUUCAAUGACGUAGACUGACCAGGUGAAAGCUGUGAUCCCUUAUUGAUGUCCCUUGUUAAAUCCACUUCCAUCAGUGUAGAUGAAGGGGAGGAGACAGGUUAAAGAAGGAUUUUUAAGCCUUGAGACAUGGAUUGUGUAUGUGUGCGAUUCAGAGGGUGAAUAGGCAAGACAAAAGUUUGAAGUGCCUUUGAACGGGUUUGUGUGUGUCAAGAACUGCAAUGCUGCUGGGUUUUUUCACGCUCAACAGUUUCAAAUCAAAUCACAUUUUAUUUGUCACAUAUACAUGGUUAGCAGAUGUUAAUGUGAGCGUAGCGAAAUGCUUGUGCUUCUAGUUCCGACAGUGCAGUAAUAUCUAACAAGUAAUCUAACAAUUCCCCAACAACUACCUAAUACACACAAAUCUAAAGGGGUGAAUGAGAAUAUGUACAUGUAAGUAUGUGGAUGAGCGAUGGCCGAGCGGCAUAGGCAAGGUGCAAUAAAUGGUGUAAAAUACAGUAUAUACAGUGGGGCAAAAAAGUAUUUAGUCAGCCACCAAUUGUGCAAGUUCUCCCACUUAAAAAGAUGAGAGGCCUGUAAUUUUCAUCUGUACAUGUGAAAUGAGAAAUGUAAGAUAUAUGAACAUUAUUAAAGUAACAUUAUUUAGAAUGGAA
Long non-coding RNA from Oncorhynchus nerka (sockeye salmon), 1175 nucleotides. RefSeq lists it as uncharacterized. The record is from RefSeq and is a predicted model, not a curated record. Lineage: Eukaryota; Metazoa; Chordata; Actinopteri; Salmoniformes; Salmonidae. The transcript has 4 exons.